GGGCAACCCUGGUGGCGAGUGGCGAACGGGUGAGUAAUACAUCGGAACGUGUCCUGUAGUGGGGGAUAGCCCGGCGAAAGCCGGAUUAAUACCGCAUACGACCUAAGGGAGAAAGCGGGGGAUCUUCGGACCUCGCGCUAUAGGGGCGGCCGAUGGCAGAUUAGCUAGUUGGUGGGGUAAAGGCCUACCAAGGCGACGAUCUGUAGCUGGUCUGAGAGGACGACCAGCCACACUGGGACUGAGACACGGCCCAGACUCCUACGGGAGGCAGCAGUGGGGAAUUUUGGACAAUGGGGGCAACCCUGAUCCAGCAAUGCCGCGUGUGUGAAGAAGGCCUUCGGGUUGUAAAGCACUUUUGUCCGGAAAGAAAACUUCGUCCCUAAUAUGGAUGGAGGAUGACGGUACCGGAAGAAUAAGCACCGGCUAACUACGUGCCAGCAGCCGCGGUAAUACGUAGGGUGCGAGCGUUAAUCGGAAUUACUGGGCGUAAAGCGUGCGCAGGCGGUCUGUUAAGACCGAUGUGAAAUCCCCGGGCUUAACCUGGGAACUGCAUUGGUGACUGGCAGGCUUUGAGUGUGGCAGAGGGAGGUAGAAUUCCACGUGUAGCAGUGAAAUGCGUAGAGAUGUGGAGGAAUACCGAUGGCGAAGGCAGCCUCCUGGGCCAACACUGACGCUCAUGCACGAAAGCGUGGGGGAGCAAACAGGAUUAGAUACCCUGGGUAGUCCACGCC
Molecule: ribosomal RNA, 731 nt
Filed under: Burkholderia sp. SQ6_d
Lineage: Bacteria; Pseudomonadati; Pseudomonadota; Betaproteobacteria; Burkholderiales; Burkholderiaceae
Description: bacterial SSU rRNA
Rfam family: Bacterial small subunit ribosomal RNA
Source: RNAcentral